Suricata suricatta (meerkat) is the source of this 1393-nucleotide long non-coding RNA. RefSeq lists it as uncharacterized. The record is from RefSeq and is a predicted model, not a curated record. Lineage: Eukaryota; Metazoa; Chordata; Mammalia; Carnivora; Herpestidae. The transcript is spliced from 3 exons.
CCAAUCGACUUCAUGUAGUCAUCGAAAUUCUUGCUGUCCACCAGCUUCCAGGUGCCCACGAAAGCGUCCACCAUGGUGAGGAUGGGCUAGGCGAGGGCUCUGAGAACGCAGAACAGGCGUGCCAGGACUCCGGGACCCGCGGUUCCCGGCCCGCGCUGCCGCUUUAAAUAGCCCUUGCAUCACGUGGUGAGGCGUGGCCCACACCCCCAGCUCCCGAAAUAGGAAGCCUCAGGCUAGCGCUCCGCAGCCAGGAGCAGGCUGCCCAUCCCCCACGGCGCGGCCGGCCGGGGGAGGGGGCAGCUGGUGGCGCCCGCCUCUCCCGCGGCAGCGCGAGGGGCCCCGGUCUCUGAGUCCCGGCCCCACGCUGGCGGGACCGCUCCCUUCCCUGGCCUCAAGGCGCUGGUCGCAGUCUGAGACGGAAGCCGCUGAGGGCGCGGUGCCCGCGAGGUGGGGCGCGCGCCUCGGACAGCUUCGUCCCCCCAGUGACUCUCGGAGUUGGGGUUAGAGCAGGGAGGAGAGACUAGAGGAGACAGGAAACUCGCCCUUGGGCUGAUGCCCAGGCCGGGAAAGCUCCGGCUGACCCUUCGCGGCGCAGGCGGCUUGGCCCCCGCUUUGCAGGUCCAGCUGUGGAUACAACAUCUGGCAGGCAGCAGGACCAGUCCCCGCCAAGAGCAGCAUCUCCGCAGCCCUGGCCCUGUGGUGAUGUCACUGUUCUGUGUCUCCACGGCAACCACAGGCUGGGAAGAUGGAGAAGAGGAGAGCUGAGUAACCAGGAGAGAGCCAAUGAGAGGGGCCAGCUGCACCGGAUGAUCCGGCGGUUUUCCCAGAGAUGCACGUGAAUGAGCCAAGGCCCUUGGAGACAUUGAACCGAUAGCAAAGGAUCCAGGUGUAUCUGUCCCCUCACUGAGGCCAUUCAGUGCCUUCAGAGACUGCAGACAAGUCUCCACAUCUCUCCCUUUCUCUCUAAAUAAUUCAUGCAUUUCACUAGUCUUAACUGAGGAUCUCCUGCUCCCAGACACUGUGGUGGGCUCAGUGGGUCCCAGGGGAAACGGGAGAGCCACAGCCCACAUCCUCCCUGAGCUCACCAUGCAGGGGGAUCCAGCAGUGGCUGGAAUGCCGUGUCCUUUCUGCCACUAAGAAAUCACUUCCUGGUUCCCCAAGAGUUCUAGAUACUAUGGGUCUGAGAGAAUAAAUGAUGGCCAAAGAUAGGGAUUUCCUCAACACCAGUUGCUUCUGAGAAACUGCUGCCUGUGGCACAGGCUCCCUGGAAGGAGAACAAUGACUCUCUCUGCCCAGAGAGGAGAGGGGGCAGCUCAGGGUGGCUGGGCAAUCACCUCGGCUUUCCCGGAAGCCAGCCGCCCUGCCUGUUGGCAGAAUAAAGCCCAGACUCUUC